AGCUCCACUGACUGAAUACAACCUAGACAGACGCAAACAGUCAGACAUUCAACGCUAUCUCAGCAGUUCCCUGUGCCCCUGUGCCCAAAGUCAGAGCUGACCUGGCUCUUAAAGGGAAUGAUGAGCAAGUGACGCUCUGAUUAGUUUAUUUAACAAUACACCCAACAUUUCGAGCCAUGCAAGGUGUACUUUUCCUGUCGUUACGAUAGCAAAGACACACUGACACGCCCUAAAUUAAAUUGCACAGUGCACUGUUGCCGAUCCCCUAAAGAUCAAUAAAAUGUAGUGCUUUUCUAUUAAUAUGGAAAUGGCACCAUUCUGGUUCGCAAACUGAAUUUUGAACCGCAUUGCUUUGUUUUUUUGCCAACAAAAAUAGGUUUUAGAACCAGGAGCAUUAGUUUGCAUUGGGAAUCGUUAUAAGCAUACUAGGUUCUUUCAGUGCGCCCUCUGUUUAUGACGUAUGGUAUGAAGUUUUGACAGUUCCUCUAAAACUGGUGAAAAUUUAGGCUGGUUCACUAAAAAGCACCACGGUUCUUAUAGGCCCGAAUGGAACUGGUCCAAGAACCAGAGUUCUUUUGGUGGAAAAGCGCCAAUAAAGCCCAAUGACUUUUAAUUUCUCUUUAUUUUCUUUAUUUUUUAUCAGGUGGGAUGCGGGAUAGUCGCCGGUCUGCUUCACUUCUUCUUCCUCUCGGCGUUCUGCUGGAUGUUGUUGGAAGGGGUCCAGCUGUAUCGGAUGGUGGUCAAAGUUUUCCACACCACGCUUCACCCCCUUCAAAUGGUUGCCGCGGGAUACGGAGUGCCAUUGGCCAUCGUCAUCAUUUCCGCCAUCGCUUACCCUAUGGGAUACGGAACGGACCGACACUGCUGGCUCUCUCUAAAAGAAGAUUUUAUCUGGAGCUUCUACGCCCCCGUCUGCAUCGUCAUCAUGAUCAACAGCUUCUUCUUCGUCAUCACUGUCUGGAAACUGGCGGGAAAAUUCUCCAGCCUCAACCCAGAUCUGUCCAAGCUCAAAAAACUCAGGUUAGAUACAAUACAGAUAUACAGUACCAGUAAACGUUUGGACGUUUAUUAUUUUAAAAUGUUCUGUAUUGUAGAUUAAUACUAAAAUCAUCCAAACAUUUUCUCAGUCAGUUUUAUGAGGUAGAGUCACCUGGAAUUCAGGCUUUCAGUUAACAGCUGUGCUGAACUCAUCAAGAGUUAAUUACUUGAAUUUCUUGUCUCUUAAU
Molecule: long non-coding RNA, 1226 nt
Filed under: Astyanax mexicanus (Mexican tetra)
Lineage: Eukaryota; Metazoa; Chordata; Actinopteri; Characiformes; Acestrorhamphidae
Description: lncRNA (ENSAMXG00005002641.1)
Source: RNAcentral